RNAcentral lists this ribosomal RNA (301 nucleotides) under uncultured bacterium. RNAcentral describes it as "partial 16S ribosomal RNA". It matches the Rfam family "Bacterial small subunit ribosomal RNA", at positions 509 to 807 of the family's 1533-position model. The record is from RNAcentral.
CAGCAGCCACGGGAAAACGAAGGGGGCUAGCGUUGUUCGGAAUUACUGGGCGUAAAGCGCACGUAGGCGGAUAUUUAAGUCAGGGGUGAAAUCCCGCAGCUCAACUGCGGAACUGCCUUUGAUACUGGGUAUCUUGAGUAUGGAAGAGGUUAGUGGAAUUGCGAGUGUAGAGGUGAAAUUCGUAGAUAUUCGCAGGAACACCAGUGGCGAAGGCGGCUAACUGGUCCAUAACUGACGCUAAGGUGCGAAAGCGUGGGGAGCAAACAGGAUUAGAUACCCCAGUAGUCCCUGUCUCUUAUAC